This 353-nucleotide ribosomal RNA is filed under the name uncultured Polaromonas sp. RNAcentral's name for it is "bacterial SSU rRNA". It matches the Rfam family "Bacterial small subunit ribosomal RNA", at positions 1027 to 1382 of the family's 1533-position model. Lineage: Bacteria; Pseudomonadati; Pseudomonadota; Betaproteobacteria; Burkholderiales; Comamonadaceae. The record is from RNAcentral.
AACGUACACAGGUGCUGCAUGGCUGUCGUCAGCUCGUGUCGUGAGAUGUUGGGUUAAGUCCCGCAACGAGCGCAACCCUUGUCAUUAGUUGCUACAUUCAGUUGGGCACUCUAAUGAGACUGCCGGUGACAAACCGGAGGAAGGUGGGGAUGACGUCAAGUCCUCAUGGCCCUUAUAGGUGGGGCUACACACGUCAUACAAUGGAUGGUACAAAGGGUCGCCAACCCGCGAGGGGGAGCCAAUCCCAUAAAGCCAUUCGUAGUCCGGAUCGCAGUCUGCAACUCGACUGCGUGAAGUCGGAAUCGCUAGUAAUCGUGGAUCAGAAUGUCACGGUGAAUACGUUCCCGGGUCUU